Molecule: ribosomal RNA, 253 nt
Filed under: uncultured bacterium
Lineage: Bacteria
Description: partial 16S ribosomal RNA
Rfam family: Bacterial small subunit ribosomal RNA
Source: RNAcentral
UACGUAGGGUGCGAGCGUUAAUCGGAAUUACUGGGCGUAAAGCGUGCGCAGGCGGUUUUGUAAGCCAGAUGUGAAAGCCCCGGGCUUAACCUGGGAAUGGCAUUUGGGACUGCAAGGCUGGAGUGUGGCAGAGGAGACUGGAAUUCCUGGUGUAGCAGUGAAAUGCGUAGAGAUCGGGAGGAACACCCGUGGCGAAGGCGGCUCUCUGGGACGGUACUGACGCUGAGACGCGAAAGCGUGGGGAGCGAACAGG